This is a long non-coding RNA of Mercenaria mercenaria, 6750 nucleotides long. RefSeq lists it as uncharacterized. The transcript is spliced from 3 exons. NCBI's taxonomy places the organism in Eukaryota, Metazoa, Mollusca, Bivalvia, Venerida, Veneridae. The record is from RefSeq and is a predicted model, not a curated record.
GGUUGUAUCAUGGAAAUAAAGCUGGGGAGAAGAUUGGACCUAAAUGCAAUGUAGGUGACCGGAUAGGAUGCGGAAUCACAUUUCAGAGGGCUGGGGGGAUGUGGGGGUUGUUUAGCCUAUAUGAUUAUUUUGCUGUAUUCACAAGAAACGGAAGAAUGAUUGGACAAAAAGUUAUAUGUACAGUAUCUGCACGAUUCCUUGCUGUUGGGAUGCAUUCAGCUAUAGAAAAAGUCAAAGUUAUACUUGAUGCAAAGAUGCCAAGGAUGUGAAACAAGUGGCAAUUGCGUACGGAGUUUCAGAAAAAUUAGACACAAGAAUAAGCAUAGACAUUUAUAUACAACCAUUACGAUUAUAUUAACAUUAUGUCCAGUGUGUGUACAUAAUAGCACGUCUCUAGUGCUACAGUGUUUAACUAUGCAUUUGAAUUUAGUUUGUUGAUGCUUCUAAAUAUGAUAUUUUACUUCUAAAAGAAAAGUCAGGCAUAAAGUUAUUAAUAAUACACGUAUAUACUUGCGGUUUUCUCUAUUAUGACUAACUUGAAUCAAACGCUGGCUUAUGCUUCAGUUUUUGGAUUUUAUUAGUUUCCUAUGUAAGUUCAGUUUUAUCCAUAAUAAUUUAUAAAAGCUAUACAAAAUUAUACCUAUAUAUUUUUCUGUACUUCCUCUAAUUUCUACAUGUUCUUUUUCAAUUCAUUCGUUUUGUUACAAAAAUCAAUCGGGAUAGUAAUUGGUCAAUCUUUACAACGGGCAUCAUGUAUUUUGAACGAGCUUAUAUCAAAUAAUCAAGGCCUUUGAGUGGUUUGUCGAUUAAGAUGCACAGAAACAGAACCGCGAGACUCAGGGCGUUAACGAAAACAACAUCGAAACAUCUGAACGAUGAACCGCGGUAAAUUAAACGGGAAACAACAAGACGAUAGAUUUCAUUCUUACAUGUUCCUUGAAAUAUUUUGACAAAAAAAUUGGUCUUCCUUUAUCCGAGAAGUUAUGAACCAGAUAGCAUGUCGCAAUUUGGCGUCGUGGUUGACCAUGAUGUUAUCUUACCGAUUCGCACGUAAAUGUUAUUAAUUGCAGAAUAUAAAGAACUUGACUGUCUUCUUUGAUAAACUCGAAAUCAAAUCGAUGCAUUUAAACACAUGACUAUCAAGUGUGUUCCUGAAAUACGUAAGAUCGGUAAUAUUCUCAUUCGUAUGAUAUUUGUAACAUUGCUACAUAGAAUUGUUGACAAGUGAGAUCUAUGUCUAAAUCAUAAUUCAGUUGAUCAGAAAGUAUCAAAGGCUAAGUUAAUAGUUGGCAAAUGGCGUGGUAAUAAUUCGUAGGUUUAUGAUAUUGUAACUAGAAGAAAGUUGUAUGGAAAGAGCUCGCAAUGUCUAUUAAUUUUCUUAAUGUAAGAUAUUGUUUGCAAAUGUCUGUUGUUUCAUACAGAAAUAUUUUACUACACAAAAUUUGAAACAGAAACUUUGACUUGUUUAAAUGUAUAUUUAUCUGUAGUCGAAUUAGGCAAUAUAUCGCAUAGUUCCAUUUCUUUCUAUAUUUAUGUUCACAUUUUGUUGUCUUUAAACUGUUAACACGGAUCAAUAGUGACUACUUUUACUAAAAUAUAAACUUUGACAUAAUGGAAACAGUUAAUUUGAAGUUCUAUUAGAUUAGUUUAUUGCAAAAAUGCCACAUUUCCAAAAUGUCGUCUUUAAUGCAAGAACAAUUUAUAUGUCGUGUUGUCCCUUGCAUUAAAAACGUUUACGUUAAUCAGAAUUCAGUAAAAAAUUUUAAACAGAGUGCGUUUUACAUUACUUAAUGCUGAUAGAAAAUUAUGAAACAACUAUUCCUAACUCAUAGUUUACUGUUUUAUAAUAUAUAGUUUCGAAAUUGAAAUUACAUACUUUUGUUUUAUUUCUGCUGUACUGAUACGUCAAUUUUAAUUGCGUUAAGUACAUUAUCUGAUUGUAUUUCCUCAAAAAUAUUCUGUAAAUAUUUUUGCUAUUAUGCACUCUAGCGGGAAAAAACUGUGCACUGAUUUUCUGUUUGUUUGUUUAAUUGUUCAGAUUCUAUUUUUUUGAAUGUAUUGCUGCAUAAGUCCAUUCACUAAAUAAAAUAACGAGGAUAUUGCGACGGGAUUCCUUCUGUUGCGCAUGUGCGGAAAAUGGUGGUGUUUUUAUUUUUUAAAACAUUGUUACGUCUCAAUAAUAAAUAAAACAUAUAUCAAAAGGAGUUUAUCAAUAUUGAACUGUGCCAAGAAUAUGGAUUAUUGUGUGUGUUAUCUUGAGAGUUAUUUACUGGAUUAGUCUUCGCUAUUAAUGAGUAGAAAACGGAAUGCUAUUACGUCUAACGAAAAGGAUACUGAAUAAUGACGGGGAUCAGAAUCUGGGACGUCCAGAGACAAACAAACCCAACGGCUCUGCAUGGUCAGUCCGUGAAGAAAGAAGCAUUGAUGGUACUACCGAAAUUGUGUCAGGUCAGUCGUUGGAAUCGUCGGAAAUGCCAUAUUUUACUCCAGGGGCCAAUAGUGAAAACUGUGAAGACAAAGUAAUAGAAUUCUGUGUUAAGGUUUUGAAAAUUCCGGAGGCUGAUAGUAGAGUACAUAUUGACAGGGCUCACUGAAUCGGAAGUUUUAUUCCGGGUAAAAUUCGACCGAUCGUUGUAAAAUUCAAAGACAUGGAAUCAAAGUUAUUGGUUAAAAUACUUUAAAACUGAUAAAUCUGAAAUAUAGCAAUUAUAAUGUUUUUGAACAGUUUCCCACUGAGGUGAAGGAGAGAAGAAAGGCCCUUAUCUCAGAACAAGGCACGGAAUUCAGGAAAAAAAGGCUGUAUUGAUGCGAGAUAAACUCUUUGACAAUAAACUGUUUAAUCCAGAAUCUCGUGCAGACAGUGAUUAAUAGGACAGUAGAGAAAAGUAUGACUUAUCCAUUAUAUCAUAGAAUGUUGAAGUCUUAGAUAGUUGUAUUCGUAAUGAAGAUUUUAUUAAUUUUGUUGUAAAUUUUGAUAUUCUCUGUCUGUGUGAAUCUUGGAAAAAAAGCAAAGAUCUGUACGAAUUAGACGGAUACGAGUGUAUUACAGUUCCUAGACCUAAAAGUAUAACAUCAAACUCAAAAAGGGGUCACGAUGGUGUUUGUAUUUUUUAUAAAAGCCUCUUAAAAGAGGGUAUUACAGUAUCUGAAAUAGACGCUAGCGGUGUUAUAUGGAUCAAACAUAGUAAAUCGUUUUUUAAUCUGGAAAGUGAUGUUUACUUAUGUUGUUUAUACAUACAUCCCAGUUAUUGUAUAUAUUUCACUAUGCAUGUAGAAGUUUUUUUUUGAACGUUUAGAAAGAGGUGUACAUAAGUACUCUCAGCUAGGAAAUAUAGCCGUGAUAGACGAUGUAAACGCUAGAGGUGGCAAUAAGCCUGCCUUUGUUAAAAAAAAAGUUCACAUUAUGAUAAAUUUAUUCCAGUUAUUGAUAAAAACUGUGACAGUGAAGGUAAUAGUUUCGAUAAUAUUCCACAUAGAUUCUCUAUGGACCCGGUUGUUAAUACAUCAGGUAAUAGAAUGUUGGAACUAUGUCAAAGUAGUAACCUGUUUAUAAAAUACGGCAUAGAAGGUGAUGAUGCUGGAAUAGGUAGUUUCACCUACUUUUCGGCGGACGGUAGUAGCGUAAUCGAUUACGCAUUAUGCUCGGAGGAUUUAUUCCCCUUGGUUAGUAAUUUUACGGUGCAUGACUUGUAUUCUGUUUCACCACAUUGUCCUAUUCAAGUUUAUCUAAAUGUUAACAGUUGUACACCGUGUAAAAUUAGUAUUAGUAGAAAUGCAUGUGAUAAAAUUAUAUGGGAUAGUGAAAGAGUUGAUUGUUAUAGAAAUGUUUUUUCUUCUGAACUUUUGAAUAUCGAUGGAAUUAUCAGUAAUAUUGUAUCAAGGGAAACCAAUAUUGAUGCUGGAAUAAGUGAGAUAACAAGUAUUUUGUAUGAUAAAAGUGCAAGCGUUUUUGGUAAAUCUUCACUUAAUAAGACACAUAAAAGUAGUCAAUUAUAUAAGAGCCCAUGGUUCAAUAAAGAAUGUUAAUUAGCUAGGCGAGAAUUCAGAGCAGCUAAUGAAUCUUUUAAUAAAAGAGUCAUCUUUGGAAUAUAUUGAAUUAUUAAAAUCUAAACGCCGUAGGUACAAAAUGAUUAAAAGGAAAGCACGUUCUUAAUAUAAUGGGAAACAGAAAAAAAACUUCAGAAAUUAGCUAAGCAUCAACCGCAAAAAAUUCUGGAAAGAAAUAGGUAAAAUUAAAAACAAAAAAUCUAAGUUUGAAACAUUACAAAAGUACAGAUUUUUGAGCAUUUUAAAACUUCUGAGACUGACAGAGCAAUAGCUUUACUAAAAAUGGUAAAAGUGGAGGGGUAGACAUGUUAGUUAGUGAAAUAUGUUUAGAAUGUAAAGAUAUUCUUACUCCUAGCCUUUGCAAAUUAUUUAAUUUUAUGUUUGUAAAUAGUGUAUAUCCUGAGAUACGCGACUAAAGGUAUUAUAGUUCCUGUACCAAAAAUGGGUAAUCCUGACGACGUUAACAACUACAGAGGUAUAUCUCUUACUAGUAUUUUUUCUAAAAUAUUUUCCACAGUAUUGGAAACUCGGCUGCACAAGUGGGCUGAGAGUAACAAUUUGUUAUCAGAAUACCAGUAUGGUUUUGUAAAGACAAAAGCACUAUAGAUUGUAUAUUUGCUUUAAGCUCAAACAUAAACAAAGUCAUAAAAAAUAGAAAAAGAAGCUGUAUUGUGCUUUUUAUAGAUUUUCAUAAAGCUUUCGAUGUUGUGUACAGAAAUGGUAUAUGGCUAAAACUAAUAAAAUAUGGAGCUUCUAGAAUUUUUAAAAUGUUAAAAGUUAUGUACGAAAAUGUUAAAUCAUGCUUAAAAGUGAAUGGUUCAAUAACUGAGUAUUUUGAAUGUAACAGUGUUAAACAGAGAGAACCAUUGUCUCCCCUGUUAUUUAUCUUUUUUAUCAACGAUAUGUAUGUUUAUCUAUACGAAGAAAAUGUUGAAGUUUUUUCUCUGGAAGAGAUAAAAAUAUUUCUGCUAUUGUUUGCUGAGGAAACAGUACUAUUUUCGUAUACUAAAAACGGUUUGCAGUUAUUACUUGUGAUUACUAGAUAAAUAGUUAUGUAUUGCCAAAAAUGCGGAAUUACUGUUAACUCUGAAAAAUCAGUUAUUAUGAUCAGUAAAAAGGGUAACAGAAAAGAAAAUGAUGUAUUUAUAUAUAACAACCAGAGUCUUAAAAUUGUCGAUAAAUUUACUUAUUUAGGUGUAACAAUUUCAUCUAAUGGUAGCUUCUUUCAAGCCCAAAACUCAUUGUAAGAGCAAGCUAUGAAGGCUCUAUACUCUCUAAUCUCUGUCUUCGAUAAUUUGUCUCUGGAACUAUCUGAAAAAAAUACAAUUGUUUAAUUUUAUGAACAUGCCUAUUCUUAACUAUGGAUCAGAAGUCUGGGGUUUACAUAAUUCACCAGAUAUAGAACGUGUUCACAAAAAAUUUCUAAAAAAACUACUAGGUGUAAGACAACAAACAUCAAAUGCUGUGGUAUGUGGUGAAUUUGGAAGAGUACCUUUGUUGGUGUUACGUAAAGUAGGCAUUAUAAAGUACUGAUAUCGAAUUGUUAAGCAAGCAGACUCAUUGUUAUACAAAUUGUUGAUGAUGAAAGACAGAAAAAAUCAUUUUGUUAAUAAAUGGUCUAUUGAUGUAAACUAUCUAUUGCAAACUUUAGGGUUUCCAAAUGUUUUUUCAUAAACCAAAUGAAAUUGAUCCUAAUAGUGUUAUUCAACGUAUCUAUGAUCAGUACUAUCAACGAUGGUUUUCUGAAAUUGAAAUUUCAACAAAACUAGAUAUUUUCAAUACGAUUAAAGACAAUUUUGAAGCUAAAAAAUACCUUAGUUGUGUGAAAAACUCUAAUUACAGAAUAGCACUCUCACGGUUCAUGUGCUCUGCUCACAGGCUUAUGAUAGAAGAAGGCAGAUUUAGAAAUAUUUAUAGAGAUCAAAGAAUUUGUUUAAAAUGUAAUAUGAAUGCAGUUGAAACAGAGUACAAUUUUUUACUUGUUUGUCCCUUUUACAGGGCAUUAAGACAAGAACACCUACCAAACUAUUACUGCUCUUGGCCUGAUUUACACACAUAAAAAGUAACUAAUCUCCAUUUUACUUUUCGUCACAACACCUAUCUACGUAUGUUUUACAUAAAAAAGUAUCUUUUUUUUUUUUACAUGAUGACAUUUUAAUCUAGAAAAGUUUCUUAGCUAUCUGUAUGAGCAAGCUUAUAGCAACGUUGAUUUUUAGAAAGCUCUUUUUUAGAAAGAUGUAGCACUUGAUGCAUCUAGUUAAAACGCGUAUUGAUACAACCCAUUUCGAAGGCAGAGACCGCUCAUAUAGUAUAAAUCAGAUAAAUGUCAUCAUUAUUUUUUUAAGUCUCUCAUUCAAAUAAUUCUAAUAGAUAGAAUUUUGGUUGGAGACUAAAAACCAACACACUUAGUUUAUCUGAAAAUGUCGUACUUGGUAAUAGUCCCAAAAUAUUUUGGUUAUCAGUAUUUAAUGUAUAGAUAACUGAUGUUUAAGUUACCAAUUGUGUCCACAUCUUAGUUCAAUUUUAUUAUUCUACUGUAUACAUUUAACGCAUUUAAGAAUUAAAUGCAAAAUAGUCUUUCAGGAAGUUAUAUUCUGAAUAUUCAAGUUUUAUUAUACUGUUUUGAGUUAAUCAUUUAAAGUUUUGAUUGACACUGUUUGUUUAUUUUAAUCAUUGUGAAUGCAAAAUAAUCAUUUCGAAAAA